This 1614-nucleotide ribosomal RNA is filed under the name Triticum aestivum (bread wheat). RNAcentral describes it as "partial small subunit ribosomal RNA". Lineage: Eukaryota; Viridiplantae; Streptophyta; Magnoliopsida; Poales; Poaceae. The record is from RNAcentral.
AUGGCGACGGCGACGAGGGCGAAGGACCUGGCGCGGAGGUCGCCGAAGAAGUACGUGGAGGAGGCGCUCUACCGGCGGCUGUUCCGGCGGGGGUCGACGCCGCAGGCGGUGCGCGAGGAGGUGGACGGCUUCCUCGGCAGCCGCAAGCGCGCCUUCAAGUGGGAGGUCGCCGUCUGCGUCCGCCGCCUCCGGCGCCAGGAGCUCUACCGCCCCGCCCUCAAGCUUACUGAAGUUAUGACUAGAAGAGGCAUGAAUCCUACAGUCGGUGAUCAAGCAAUCCGCUUGGAUCUUGUUGCCAAAUCGAGAGGCAUCGCUGCUGCUGAGAAGUACUUCAUGGACCUCCCAGAAACUUCUAAAACACAUCUCACAUAUGGCGCUCUUCUCAACUGUUACUGCAAGGAGUUAAUGACUGAGAAGGCUGAGUCCCUUAUGGAGAAAAUGAAGGAGCUCAACUUUGCUUUCACUGCCAUGUCCUACAACAGCUUAAUGACACUAUACACUAAGGUCAACCAACCUGAAAUGGUGCCCAGCAUCAUCCAGGACAUGAAGGCUGAUGAUGUUCUACCAGAUGUCUAUACUUAUAAUGUCUGGAUGAGGUCACUUGCAGCUCGUCAGGACAUAUUAGGGGUCGAGAGGGUGAUUGAAGAGAUGACAAGGGAUGGCCGUGUUGCUCCUGAUUGGACUACAUACAGUAACCUGGCUUCCAUAUACGUUGAUGCUGGACAGUCUGAGAAGGCAGAAGCCGCUCUUAAGGAGCUAGAGAAGCGCAACACUGGCAAUGAUCUUGAAGCCUACCAGUUCCUCAUUACACUGUAUGGGCGAACACAAAAUUUAGUGGAAGUUCAUCGUGUUUGGCGGUCACUGAAGAGGAAUAAUCCUAGGAAGGCAAACAUGAGCUAUCUUAACAUGAUUCAGGUUCUUGCAAACUUGAAGGAUCUGCCUGCUGCUGAGGCCUGCUUCAAAGAGUGGGAAGCUCGGUACAUCCGUCCACCUAAGACUAAAGCAACUGAUGCUGUGACAACUGAAACUUCUAAGUUGGAAGAAGAAGCUUCAACCGAGGCAUCUAAUAAUGAUUCUGAUGUUAAGGAAACAGAGGACAAGGGAACAGAGGAGCUUGACCUGAAACGUCCUAAAUACGACAUCCGGGUUGCAAAUGCUCUGAUGAAAGCAUAUGUUACAGAGGGUAUGCUUGACAAGGCCAUCGCUCUCAAGAAGCGUGCCAAGAUGCGCGGAGGAAGGCUUAACGCGAAGACGUGGGAGAUUUUCAUGGACCACUAUCUAAAGGUGGGGGAUCUGAAGAAUGCCCAUUGGUGCGCCGACCGUGCAAUCAAGAAGGGACACAGCAGCGGCAGGAUUUGGGUGCCACCACAUGACGUGACCAAGACCUUGAUGGGCUACUUUGAGAAGAAGAAAGACGUGGACGGCGCUGAGAGUUUUGUCGAGGUGCUAAAGAAGGUGCAGAAAGAUCUGGGGACGGUGGUGUUUGAGCCGCUGGUACGGACGUACGCGGCGGCUGGGAAGAAGUUCCCUGGGAUGCGACACCGUCUGAAGAUCGAAAACGUGGAACUCAGCGAGGAAACUGACAAGCUGGUCGAUUCCAUCUGUGUUGAUUGA